UACGUAGGUGGCAAGCGUUGUCCGGAUUUAUUGGGUUUAAAGGGUGCGUAGGCGGUCCUAUAAGUCAGUGCUGAAAUAUCCCGGCUUAACCGGGAGAGUGGCAUUGAUACUGCAGGACUUGAGUAAAGUUGAGGUAGGCGGAAUUGACGGUGUAGCGGUGAAAUGCUUAGAUAUCGUCAAGAACACCGAUAGUGAAGACAGCUUACUAAACUUUAACUGACGCUGAGGCACGAAAGUGUGGGGAUCAAACAGG
This 253-nucleotide ribosomal RNA is filed under the name uncultured bacterium. RNAcentral describes it as "partial 16S ribosomal RNA". It matches the Rfam family "Bacterial small subunit ribosomal RNA", at positions 524 to 776 of the family's 1533-position model. The record is from RNAcentral.